Molecule: ribosomal RNA, 427 nt
Filed under: uncultured bacterium
Lineage: Bacteria
Description: bacterial SSU rRNA
Rfam family: Bacterial small subunit ribosomal RNA
Source: RNAcentral
UGGGGAAUUUUGGACAAUGGGGGCAACCCUGAUCCAGCAAUGCCGCGUGCAGGAAGAAGGCCUUCGGGUUGUAAACUGCUUUUGUACGGAACGAAAAGGCUCUGGUUAAUACCUGGGGCAUAUGACGGUACCGUAAGAAUAAGCACCGGCUAACUACGUGCCAGCAGCCGCGGUAAUACGUAGGGUGCAAGCGUUAAUCGGAAUUACUGGGCGUAAAGCGUGCGCAGGCGGUGCUGUAAGACAGGCGUGAAAUCCCCGGGCUUAACCUGGGAAUGGCGCUUGUGACUGCAGUGCUGGAGUGUGGCAGAGGGGGAUGGAAUUCCGCGUGUAGCAGUGAAAUGCGUAGAUAUGCGGAGGAACACCGAUGGCGAAGGCAAUCCCCUGGGCCUGCACUGACGCUCAUGCACGAAAGCGUGGGGAGCAAACA